RNAcentral lists this ribosomal RNA (497 nucleotides) under uncultured bacterium. Its description in RNAcentral is "partial 16S ribosomal RNA". It matches the Rfam family "Bacterial small subunit ribosomal RNA", at positions 28 to 507 of the family's 1533-position model. The record is from RNAcentral.
GAUGAACGCUGGCGGCGUGCCUAAUACAUGCAAGUCGAGCGAACAGACGAGGAGCUUGCUCCUCUGACGUUAGCGGCGGACGGGUGAGUAACACGUGGAUAACCUACCUAUAAGACUGGGAUAACUUCGGGAAACCGGAGCUACUACCGGAUAAUAUAUUGAACCGCAUGGUUCAAUAGUGAAAGACGGUUUUGCUGUCACUUAUAGAUGGAUCAGCGCCGCAUUAGCUAGUUGGUAAGGUAACUGCUUACCAAGGCAACGAUGCGUAGCCGACCUGAGAGGGUGAUUGGCCACACUGGAACUGAGAAACGGUCCAGACUCCGACGGGAGGCAGCAGUAGGGAAUCUUCCGCAAUGGGCGAAAGCCUGACGUAGCAACGCCGCGUGAGUGAUGAAGGUCUUCGGAUCGUAAAGCUCUGUUAUUAGGGAAGAACAAAUGUGUAAGUAACUAUACACGUCUUGACGGUACCUAAUCAGAAAGCCACGGCUAACUACGUG